This 75-nucleotide transfer RNA is filed under the name Candidatus Micrarchaeota archaeon CG1_02_55_41. Its description in RNAcentral is "tRNA-Met". It matches the Rfam family "tRNA". Rfam says of the family: Transfer RNA (tRNA) molecules are approximately 80 nucleotides in length. Their secondary structure includes four short double-helical elements and three loops (D, anti-codon, and T loops). Lineage: Archaea; Nanobdellati; Microcaldota. The record is from RNAcentral. RNAcentral also lists the same sequence under 4 other names.
AGCGGGGUAGGGUAGCCAGGAGUGCCCGCUGGGCUCAUAACCCGGAGAUCGGAGGUUCAAAUCCUCUCCCCGCUA